This 411-nucleotide ribosomal RNA is filed under the name uncultured bacterium. Its description in RNAcentral is "bacterial SSU rRNA". It matches the Rfam family "Bacterial small subunit ribosomal RNA", at positions 29 to 426 of the family's 1533-position model. The record is from RNAcentral.
AUCAACGCUGGCGGCGUGCCUAACACAUGCAAGUCGAACGCGAAAGGGGCUUCGGCCCUGAGUAGAGUGGCGAACGGGUGAGUAACACGUGGGUGACCUACCUUCGAGUGGGGGAUAACGUUCCGAAAGGAACGCUAAUACCGCAUGACGUUCUGGGUUUGAAGACCUGGAAACCAAAGCCGGGGACCGCAAGGCCUGGCGCUAGACGAGGAGCCCGCGCCUGGAUUAGCUAGUUGGCGGGGUAACGGCCCACCAAGGCGACGAUCAGUAGCCGGCCUGAGAGGGCGGACGGCCACACUGGGACUGAGACACGGCCCAGACUCCUACGGGAGGCAGCAGUGGGGAAUUGUUCGCAAUGGGCGCAAGCCUGACGACGCAACGCCGCGUGGAGGAUGAAGGCCUUCGGGUCGU